GCCACCGCCCGCCAUCUCCUCUGGCAGCGCGGCCCAAGGCGCGCCGCGCCCGCCCCCCCUCUCCCCGUGGCACCGCCUGAGACCCCGGCAGCGGCAGCGGGGCUCGGCCCGGCCGCCCCGGCCCCUGCGCCGUGCGGGGAGAUCGGUUGGUAAUAUGGAAGAGCCUGCCAGAGGGAGAUGUCCUGCACUUCAGUCACUCUUUCUUCUGAAGGGCCUGUGUCCAACCAAAGACUAAAUCAGAGCAGCUGCGGGGACACUUGAAUUUACAGAACGGAUCUGGUAGGUUCCUGCUAACUGCAAAGUACAGCUCUGGGAGUCCCUGUCUUUAAAAUCUUUUCUGCCUUCCAGUACCUCACACAACGCCUCUAUAGUAGAUGCAGGGAAAGAUAACUGUGUAUUUCACUGUUAAUUUAUGCAGCUUUAGAAGGUUUAAGCCUCUCCACCAUUAGCUGGUCAUUUCAAAAAGAGUUUCUGCUAGGACAGUUCUUCCUAUUUCCCUCCAAGAAGAAAGGCUCCCAAAAGUUAAGUUUCAGAAUUAGCAUUUUAAGUAAGGACCACCUUUCUCAUUACUGCGACCGCAUUUGCUUGUCCAUGUGAUUGCCCUCAGCUGAAUAAAGGGAAUCUCCCUGUGAUCCCGUUUCAUUUUGGGAGAGGUUGGGGGGUGGUAGGAAGGUUUUUUUAGGCUGUGCAUUCCUUCUCUUUUCCUGAAAUGGAAUUGCCUCACUAAGGUAUUGUGAUAUUUUCAGAUACUUUGCCAAAAAAUGCACAACCCAAAACAAAAAAUAUGAUUGCACCCCUGUGCUAAUUGUGUGAUACUCAAGCAUUUGUCUGUCUUGCACUGCAUGAUGAUGUGAUACAGAAGCAGACAGCCAUAGAUGGCCAGAAAAGGCUUAAUUAAGUAUUCUGCAGCUGCUACAAAUUAGAUCAGCAUCUGCAUCUGUGUAGACAAUGAGAUUCAUGGUAAUUUUGAGGGCCAAGCAAAGCAGAGAUUUGUUUUGGAUAGGCCUCUAGCCACAAUUCAAACAAAAUUCAAACGAAACACGUUCUAAGGGUAGAAGAACAUUGGUCAACUUCAUCUCCUGUUGCUGAAGGCCACUAUGGUGCCCUGUCCUGGCUACAUAUACCAGUUCCAGUGUACCCCAUGGAAAGCUGCUGUUACGGUACUCAUGCUUUUUUGUUUGUUUGGGUUUUUUUUUGAGAAAUGCAAUUCUCAAAAGUUUUUCAGACUAUACUUAGAGGUAUAUUUUCUCUAAGCACCCAGUUUUAUGGCUGUUUCUCUGACAAUUUGCCUUUAUUUCAAAUUGUGUACCACUUUCUGGAACCAGAGUUGGAGUAAAUGAUACGCACAUUUUAAAGGUCAGUCAUCCUGCAUAUUGUAACAGAGUAUGCUGUAUGAUAUUUGCAGCAUAAAUUGAGUAGAGAAUACAACAGCAAUAGACUAGUACAUGGAAUGAGGGGAUAAAGGUAUUGUUGGCAAACUUUUAAACAGAUAUGCUUGCAUGCAGAUACAAAGAAAUAAUAGGGUAUUCUGUGGACAUUUUGAGAAAGUGCCACGUGUUUGGAAACUCCUCAGUACUAAAUUGUUUUUCUUUCGCAUAUUAACAGCUCCAAACACAAGUAUUGAUCCAUAAAUGUGUCUUCUACCUGCUGCUGUAAUACUAAUAUAUCUAUUAUCAAAACAAUAAUUAAUAUAAAACGUUUAUUAGAUAUUUUAGAGAGACCUUGUGAGGGCUGACAGCUCUUGUUGAUAAGUGAAGACAACCUUGUAACCUCUGUGGCCAUAAAAUUUCAUUGCACAAUAUUUGGGUCAGCUUUUAGAUGUGCUUGGGCCACUUAUGUUCGUCUAUAUUAAAACUUCCAUGAGCCUCCAGCUGUGAUGUCAUUGGUUAUAACUCUUCCCAUGGAAGUACUUUAAAAAGUUGAUAUUACUGAGGUUAAAAGGGAAGUAAGCCUCAGAGGUUAUGUUUGGAUAUGUACUUUGGUUUAGAUGUAUUUAAUCUGAACUUACUGUUGCUGUGGUGUGAUCUUUUUGGAGCGUCUUUGCACAGGUCCUGAGUGAUAGAGACCGGUUUAAGUUCCCAUUUCUGGUGUUAACGUUCUGCAAGGCUGCACCAAUCAGACCAGCAAGAUCUGAUUUCAGCAGUGACUUUGCAUAGCUACACUGACGUGGUUAAAGGAGAAGAAACCUGGUUGCUAAAUCGAAGAAGUUUCUGAAACUGGGGGUUACUAUUUUUGUCAGGCAAGUAAGGACCAUGCAGAGACAAUUUAAGUGCUUUACUAAUUAAUCAAUUAAUCUCCAAUUAAAUGUGUAUUAAAACCUGUUGAACUGACCCACUGUGUCAUUACCCUCUCCAGUUUUAAACUUUCGGUAACACUUAACUAGUUAAGUUAUGGUGGCACUAGCUUUUAGAUCUACCAUAGUUGGAGGGUCUGUGCUGUAAAGCCCCUUUCUGCUAGCAUCUCUGGACAUGACCUAGUUGUCCUCUUGGCUGUGACUCAGACAAAGGAGCAACGGCUGGAGAACAGGUACAUAUCUGAAAGGGGGUUAAGAGAUUUUCUAGCUCUUAAGUGAGAGUGAAGGGUCUCCUGGGGUCUAGGUGUUCAGGUAGGGUGAAGAUGGGGCAAAAGGCAUAUGGGCAGAAAUAAUUUAAAAGGGACUGCUGCUAAGGGGAACAGACAAGUUAAGAAUUUCUGGAUUAAACUGAAAUUCAAUUCAACAAGGAGUUCCUUGCAUUCUUUUUGCAGAUUAAACCCAGCAGUUUUGAAACUGUUUAAAUAGUUUCUCCCAGGAACAAAGGAACAAGUGCUUUUUUGCCUUAAGUGAAAGCCAGUUCCCUCACAUUUCUGAGGAGGAAUACAAACCAAAAUCUUAUUUCAGUUAGGUUGUAUGUGCCUAGGAUCUAAAGUGCUAUCAAAAGCAUAGUGGUUGAGGACUGAAUGGCUAAUGAAGUCAGUUAGUGCAAGGACACAUAAUUAAAUGGACAGCCAUAUCUUUCCAAGGGUAGGAACUAUCUCCUGAUACACAAGUAGAUUAUUUCAGUCUCUUCUAUUUUUCUCCACAUUAGUAGACUCUUCAUUAAUUUUUACAAUUAUUGCAGAUGAUAUUAAUUUGUUAUUACCAAGCAUUCUACUACAGUAAUUUCAAGCUGAGGAGAUGGAUUGAUACUGGGGAAAAGGCUAUUUGCAUAUAGUUAUAUAGGAUAGAGAGUAUCCUGCUACCACUUGAGAAAGCAAAGAAGAAAGAAUGCAUGCUGCAGAUAUCUCUAGCAAGAACUAUAGGAACCAUUGAUUUUGUAUGCCUCUGUAUUGUUAUUGGUAUAGCAAUAAAAGAAAAUAGAGAGAGAUGAAAAUGAUUGGGGGAGAGAGCUCUUUUGCUUUUUAAAAAAAGCAAACCAAAACCAAAAUGAAAGGUUUGUUUUGCUGAAUCAAUCAUUAGCAGGUAGGUAUCAGCUUUUAACAUUUUUGCUGUGACAGAUGUCAUGUUUCAGGGUACAGUGCAUCAGCUAUGUUAACAUUGGAUUCAUAUGCUGUGAGCACAACUUUUAAGUAUAUGUGUAGAACUAGCAUUCCUAUGUAUGUAUACUUAUGAAGAAAGCAGUAACUGCUAGUUCAUUCGUUCUGUGCAGUUGUUUUACGUGCUUCCCAGCAUACUAGUAUACCUUAGUUUAGAUCUGGAUGUUUAUCCUUUGUAAGCUCUAUUUAUUGAACUUAAUUUGGAAUCUGGUGCUUUUAGAGUAUACGCGUAGAAUGCACAGUUGCUUUUGUCUUUAUUGAAAAUUUCUUAAGUGGUACUUUAAGUACUUGCCUCAUAACGCUAGUUGCUUUCAAAGGAAAAAAAUCCAGUUUGACUAUGCAGUAAAUUUUUAGCACUUUCCAUUGGAGAAGACAACUCAGUUAAGAGCUUGUGUAUCUGCACAGUGUGACAAGGGGCAUGCUGCAAGGCCUGUCCAUGUUACCUCGUUUAUAGUGAACUGUACAGUGCAGCAGCGUUUUUGAAAUGGGAUAGCAGGGAGGAGCUGCGAGCAGUCGUGGGGAGUGGUAGGGCAAUGCCAGGGGUGUCUUCACAUGGGAAUGGGCCACAGUGGGGUGCAGGGUGGGGAGUGGCUGCAGAGCUGUCCCUCUGCUGCCACUGCAAUGGCUUAAGGGUGACAAAGACCCCAGGCGAGGCUGCGCUCAGUAUGCCAGCAGACUGAAUUCUCCUAACAUGCGUGUGUUUGUUCAGGGAGGCAGUCUCACACCAAUAACCAAUGGAUUUUGGAACAGCAAAAAAGAAUUAAUAAAAGCCCUUGAAGAAAGUUAUAUAUAUAUAUAGAGCAGAAUAAGAUUUUGCUUACUGUACCAAGAGAAAAAUAAUUAUAAAUUUAAAGUGUAUGUGUAUAUGCUUAUAUAUACAUGUACAUACAAACACUUUAGAUACAAAGGUGUAUAUAUAUAUACACACACACUUUAAAUUUAUAACAGAAACAUAAAAUGGAAAAUCUGCAUGUUUUAAAUGCUCAUAUAUGAAGCAGUAUUUAAGGCAAUUCAUCCUACUUCCCCCCCCUAACUUUUAUACUGCAGUUCAUCGUCUUACCAAACUUUUAAAUGCAACUUCAUGGCCUUCAGUGGAAAGUGUCCUGUUUUCACCAGCAUAAGUGAAAGGAGAAUAGACACAAUAUGUUUUGAAAAUGCCAUAUAACACUGUAUGAAAAGCCUUGAAUUAGCUUUUGAAGAACACAAUACAGAGUCAUUAAAUUGUGAGUUUUGCCAAAGCUUUGUGGUUAAAUCCCAUUUUAUAUUUACACACACUAUGGAAUAACUAAUAUAGAUGUCUUCCUGACACUAAAGCUUGGAUUUAUUGGAAAAGACAAACGUGGUUGAAAGCUGAGCUAGACUGUAGCUUUUCAAAAUAAAGAAGAUAAAAAGAUAGUUAUAGAAUAAACUGCCUUAGUUUACAAAACAAACAACAGAGCUCUUAGUUGAUGGGGAAUAGUUAGUAAAGAAAUAAAUGAGCGUACUGGCCAUUUUGGGGCUGAUUCUGUUUCUAACUGAAAUAGUAGUAAAGUUUCCAUUAAUAUAUUUAAAUACAGUUUCCCUAUUUCUUAACCUCUCAGUAUUUCAUUAAUAAUAGAAAUAUUUUAGAAUUUCACUUAAUGUACUUAAAUGGGAUGAUGAGAAAACUGAGAAACAAAAAGACCAGUAAAGGGCCCUUAUUUGAAUUUAAUGGUAUACGUUAUCUAGUGUGUAAUCUCUACCUUUUGCAACAUUAAACAAUAUUUUUCUAGAAAAGUAAAACAUUCUGUACUAAAGUUUUAUUUACAAAAUACUUUUUCCCCCAAAUUCUGUGAAAUGCAGACUGACAUAAUUGGAAUUUCAUUAAAUUAUCCAGGAGUUUGUCACAUUAAUUACUACUUCUGAGCCUUUAAACUCAAUACAGUAAAAUGGUAAUGAAUGUACAGUAUACAGAACUAAAGAUUCUAAACCAAAGGCUAUAUGUUUUUCUUGGUUAGUGCAGCAUGUAGAAUGUCUAGUUAACUCCUAGGAACUGCCAUUCCUAUUUACUGUCUUCAGAUUUAACAGUGCUUGGGUUUAAUGACUCUAUAGGGGAUUUGGUUUCCAUACAUUACAAAUGUUAUGCAUGAAACAGCAAUGUUUUACAGGCAUUUCUUGUUUAAUAGCAGCUCUAGUUUUGCGGGUUUUGUUUUGUUUUACAUUUCAUACUUCAUCCGAGAAAGUAUCUUUCUUAUUUGGAGGUUUACUUUAUGCUCUGACUAGCUGUGCUUUAUUCUACUGCUCUUUUAGUCUCACAUACAGUAGGAUAUUCUUAUAGCAAACAAGAUUGUGAUUAUUUUCAUAUAGCACAUUCCAGAAACAAAAAUAAUCUCUGCUGUGCUUCUCUUGUCUCCCAAAAUGAAGAAAACAGAUGAGGAUUAAGGCCUGAUCUACCUCUGCUGAGGUUGGAGUUCCCUGUCAGCUGUACCAGUCCCACACCAAGCAGCCUAGCUGAAAAAAAAAUCACAGAACAGGGUUGUUUGAAAGGGCUUCAGGUGUUAUUUAGCCUAAUCUUAGGCUAUCCAUUGCUGAUAAAUCAUUCAUUUUGGCAUACUGGGAAUACUGAGUACAGAAAUAGUUCAGCUGUAUAUUGACAUAUGAUUCCUUUCUUUGUCCCAUUAGUGUCUUCUAUGGUGUGCAUGUGGAUUGUGAAUAUGGAAUCUGUUUACUUGAAAAGAAUCAUGGUCAAAUUUUCUGUCUGUUUACUUGCUUAAAUAAAUGUUUUCAAUUUAACACAACAAUUUGUAAUGAAUACUGUGAAACAAAGUUAAAAGAAUGAGUUCUUGAAAUAGAAAUCAUAAUAAAAAUGCUUUUCUCCCCUCCAAAAUAUUUAUUUUAACAUGUGGUCACAUUUUCCUACAUUUUCACAUUAAUUGAAAUCUUAUUGUUCUAGAAAAAUAAAUCCUUUUUUUCCCCUUCGUCUAGUUUCCCAGCUCUUACACAAAUUAAAGAAUACACACACGGGCAUAAUUUGUGGUUUUAAAAUGAGGCAAGUUGUGUAAAUUUAUGAUUUCUUUAAAAAGCAUCAUGCCCAGCAGUGCUCUCAUGUAGCCUCUGUUUUGUAAUUUACCUUUUCACUUUAGCGAAAGGCAACAGUUUUUUGUGAUAAUCCUUUGAUUACCAAGUCUUGUAAAAUGUUCUAAACCCUGUUAAUUUCACUCCCAUAUUUAUCACAAAGUAAUCUUAUGCUGAUGUUUAGAAGGAGUUUGUAAGGCUCUGGAAUGUCUGCUGAAGCUCCAAAUACCAGAAACAGUCUACAGACACCACAUCCUUUCUAUUUAUUUGGAAAUUACGAGGAUAACUUUUUUAUUUUGAAGGAGGCAGACGGGGGCGGAGGAGAGGCACCGAGUACACCCCCAGUGCUGUCUGGAUUCGGAUGUUCUUGUAUGUAAUCCUCUAUGUUCUUUCCAUUUAGAUUCAUAGAAAUAGUUUGAAAGAAACUGACUAUAAAUAUCCAGUCACUUUCAAGAAACUUUUCUUGGCAACAGUAGCUAAAAUCAAGCACCGUAUCAAAUAAAAUGCAAAGCAUGCUACAAAGCUUAUCUGCUUUCUCUUGAAGAAAGCUUUGUAAGCGUAGCCAUGAGCCUGGAGCCCAAUCACCCAGUGCCGUGGCAAGCAGAGCAACUUCCAAAGACUUAAAAAUCAUUUUUUAAUCGUUUUCUCUGUUAAAACUCACCAGUGCCCUUCUUCUGCUUCUCCAGGAAGUUGUACCCGUCAGCACCUGCUGAGGGCUUCGUUGAUCAAACUGGCAGGUAAAAAAAUUCCUGUAGAAUAAAGCCAGACCAGCUGGCUUUGAAGAGAAACCCCCCAGUUUGGGUUGUGUUUGUCUCACUCACCCUCUGCUCCGCAGCCCUGGGCUUUUUCUCCUUUGGAUGUUGACCUGUAGGCUGCGUGAUGCGGGUGCACAAGUGUCUGGCAGGCCAAGGUGCACCUGCUUCUGUCACUCCCGAGUAAAUUUAGCUGUAAAAGGUAUCACUGACAAGCAGACCUUUGUCAGCACUGGCAAAUGAACACAGCAUUGCCGUCCCCCUUCCAAGUACGCUUGCGAGUUCAAAUGGAAAAUAGCAAAUCGGUCAUCUUAUCCAGGAAUCGCUUCUUUGAGAAGAAGGAAGGCCAAAUUGCUUGUACGUGGCAAAAAACUUUCCUCCUUUACAUAGAUGUUAAAAUUACAGUAUUCCUGGAAUAAUCUCUGAACAUGAUGGGUUUUUGUUCUAUUAAUUGUGGCUGGAAGGAAACUUUUUUUUUAAUGGAAAUACAGCACACACAUAUUUCAAUUCAGGUUAUUAAAUUGUGUUAAGUAUUAAAGUUGAUGGCCUUUCUUUUCACUAACUCAUUGUGCUUUUUUAUCCAAAGAAAUAUUAGAAGACUAAAACCUCUCAAAUAGGAGGUAUUAAUCUCAUUCCCAAAAUUAGAAAGCAUGCAGUGUUGAGAGACUGGAUGUCAAAAUUACGUGUUCGUAGCACUUAUGCAGUGGGAAUCUAGGAACCAACUACUUUUAAAAUGGGAGCUAAAGUAAAUGGAGACUUUUCUGGGAGAAGCGAUCAAAACUUGGUGUUCUUGUCCUUAUUGGAUUCAGGUAAGGGUAUUUAUCAUUUAUAUCUGCCCCUUGCUUUUUUUAUUUUUUUCCCUCCUUCCUGGAAGUGGCUUCUAGUGGUUGAAAUACAUGUAAUUUGCAUCAGUAUGUCUUGCAGAGUUAAUAAAAAAAGUCACCAACAUAGAUUUGCCAGGAUUGGUAGUAACAUACCCAGAUACUCCAUUUUCUGCUUGAAAACUAUGCCAUAAACUCAAAACAACUUUUAAGGGAAAAUUUCAAAACUGUGUACUUUACAACAAUAUACUUUUUAAAAAGAGCAAAAUGUUCCUUCUAAAAAAGUAAUGGGGAAAAAGUGUGGGUCAGGAGCUCUUUGUAAAAUAAACAAGGUUCCUAUUUACUUGCUUGUAUAAACAACCACUCACUAAGCUGUAUGUCUCUGCAGGGGCACCCCUUCAGAUAAAAACAUGGACCUGAUUGGCAUCAUCCCGUAUCCAUGGAAACGUUUUAAGUACCUCUCUCUCAAAACAUACUUCUCUUAUUCAGGGUUUAAAAGCCAAAUACCAAGAUUAGGAAAAAUACUAAGAAAUCAGACUACUUUCUUUUGGCAGCAGCCAUACCCACCUGUAUCGCUGUUUAGUGGGCCACAGAAGUUAAGAGCUUAACAGUCAUUUUGAAACCAAACCAAAAGACUUGAGGAUAAAGGAGAUGCUUUAGCACAGAAGUAAGUCAAAUGCAAAAUAAUAAUUUUCCUAUUGUCUGCCCCACUACUUAGUUAAAAUAUCAAAGCAAAGAACUAACAGAAAUAAGGGAUUUUCUGUCUCCAUUUUUCCAUGCAGAGAAAGAAGCAUAGUCAUGAACCACAUUUAUUUUAAAAACUGUCAUUCUGAAGAAGAUCCUUUGCAGAUCAAAUGUAGUUAUGUCAAAGUUGCCUUGGCUCAAAUUCAAAACUCUUUCAGAAUUCCACCUAUUAACUGGUACAACUGAUGCACACUUCCAGUGUAGUUUGAUUUACAAAGUAUGAAAACGAGUGAUUGCUAUCCAUGAGUUAACGUACUGUAUGUAUUUUUAAAAAAUCCUGUCUUAAUUUUGUUGAGGGAAAACAUUUUCUUCACCUGGGCUAGGCUGGAACACUGGAAUGCCUUGCUAAUUACAAUUGCUAUCAGAAAAACACAUUUCUGUCUAGAGAGAGAUGCAGUAAUUCUCGCUGAAAUCCAACUGGUUUACAGUUUUGGUUUGCUACAUUUGUAUCUCUACAUAUUAUUUUCAUUUACUGCUGUUACUGUUUUUAUUUGCCACCUUUUCUUGACAGCCCAGUCCCUGCUGAGUGCAGAUGGCACAAAUACUCUCUCCACUGAUUAGGUUGGAAUGGCCUUUUUAGAAACUCUGUCAAACUUUGCUAUCUAAUGAAACUUGUUACCUUUUCACACGCUAGCUUCUCCCUGUCAGGCUUAUGCCUUUAUUUAUGUCUAUGCCUUUACAAAUGUGUAAAGCUUUUGUUUAAGAACUGUGAUUGUGGUGUGGACCAGUUGAACAUGCUUGACUCUCUGCAGAAGAAUCACUGGGUAAUCUGCCUGUGGUCUGGCCCAUUCGUUCUGCAGAUUGCCACAUGAGACCUCGGAUUGUGAUUGCUCUCAAGAACUUUCACUCUGAGCCAACUAAGCAUAUCAGAGAGGUGAAACUUUCAGCCUCCGUGGAAGGAUGCAGCACACAUGACAAUUUUGUACAUUUCCCUUCUAUCAUGUGCCUGUCCUUGCUACAAGGUCGAGGUUGCUGGGGUGCUAACUGGGGAAGUAGAAAGAGAGACUAGUCUCAGCUCAGCCUGCUGUGCAUUCAGUGUGGCGUGGACAAGGAAGCUCUGACCUUGUUCAUCAUCCUGAACAAAUAAAAUUUCAGUUUCGUACUUGAGUGGCAGGAUUACUCAGGUGCACUGCAAAAUACAGUGAAGGCUGGGCCUGACACUGCCACGCGGAAAUGGGGGAAACAAGAUUUGCCCUGUUGCCACUAUGUAAGGGGCAAAAAUGUGAUUCUUCCUAGCCGCAGAUCUCAGGGAAAGAAAGGGAUGAGGGGAAUUGGUAGUGGUAUCACUUGGGCACAGAAAUCUUCAUCUAAGUAAUAUGUUCUCAGCUUUAUGAUUUUUAGCUUUUUAAUCCAAGAUGUCUUUUUUUCUAGCAUUUGUUAAAGAAUCACUUCCAAAAUGCUAGAAAGUCAGCCUGAGCAUAUUGCAGAUAAAAUCUGUCUCCCUUCUCCAUCACGUAAAAUAGAGAUACAACAUUUGGCCUAUAUUCAGUUUUUCAGGUGCUAAAAAGCUAUGACAAAAAUGCACAGAUCGUAUGAUAAUGGGCAUAUUAUACAACUCUAGAUCAUCAUAUGCCCAGCUUAUUAUUACUAUUUUAGUUUUCCUCAGGCCACUUUUAUAGCACCAUCAACUUACAUGUACUUCACAAACAUAAAGGCUCAUUGCAUGCUUUUUGAAUUUAUGGAUCAAAUACAAUAAAUAAGCAGGGAAAAAACCCAGGAAAACAUUUAAGAAUGUGGCAAACAUAUAAGGAGAGGAGUAUGGCUGUAAAAAGAAAAGUGAACUGAGUUGUUUGAAGGCUUUUAAAGAUCAGCAUCAGACUAAAAUGUAGACAAGGAAUUCUCUAAGGAGCACCUCAUGUUAUUUUGGAGCCAUCAGAACGAAAACAGGACCUAAAUUCUGACUCUUCUAUACUUGAAACACACCCAGCUGAAAAGGACCGAGGAAAAAACAUGACUGACUAAAAAGCAGCUGCAUUUGGAGAACUUGCGCACAACAAAGAUGCCUCAAAUUCGGGCUUGAAAAGGGGUGGGAAAGCUGAAAACGGAGCAUCUGCUUCCACUGAUUUUGUUGGAGUUAAAAAAGCAAAAAGUGGUUCUGGGAUAUGCGUGAAUAGAUCUAUACCAUGGCACCGAAGGAGUGAGCAGCUGCAGUCUGUGGGAACUUAGGUACGUAUAUGCCAUUAAUUUAAAUGCGCUCCAGGAUUCUGUCAACAGAGGAAAGAGGAGAGCUUCCCCAGGAAUGUUUACUGCAGAACAGUUACACUGAUUAUAAGUUACUUUAAAGUAAUAAAUUAAUAGUGACCUUCUCUGCCAAAGUAUGAUUUAUUACAGACUGAUCUGCUGUUUUGUAUAACUGUUUUACAUACUAAUUGCCAGUAUAGUUGCCUGAGAAUUGAAGUAUAAAUGUGAUAGGGAAUGAUUCAUAGACAGUAUCUAAAAGCAAACCCGAAAACCUCAAAAUGUUACAAGCUUUUAGAAUUAAAACAUUUUAGUGCAAAUCAGCAAUAUGGUGUAUUGUCAAAUUAAUUAUUUGAAAAGAAGUAUUUAUAAUAAACAUUGGAAAGGAUCAGCGGAAUAAAGGGUUUCAUGAGGCAUUCCUAGUUUCAUGUAAAAAUGAUUCAGCUCUUGUUCCUGCAAACCAUUUUUUAUAUUUUGCUGUGGUCUCCCAAACUCCUGCAAGCUCCAGGUUUAUGAAUAUGUCCUGUUCAAUAGGUAAGAGGUUUACUUUGCACUUGUCCUGGUGUCCACAAAAGGUGCUUGCUAAUAAACCGGUAAAUGGGCCUCCUUCGUGUUUUAAGCCUUUCAUACUACGUGAAUAGUUGAUCUGAAAACUAUUAUUUUAAGUGGAUCUGGUACCACAGCCGUAUGCAAUGUUGCCUAACAUUUGUCAUUAAGAUUUUUCAUUGUGAGUUGCAAAAUUUCAACUAUUAAGUUUUAAAGGUAUCCUUUUUGAGUAUGUGCUUUAUCCUGGAUUUUCUAGAGUGAUUCAGCAGUUACUUGAACAGGAGGAGCGGUAUUCUAGACUACAUAUGUUAAGAAAACGUGUGAAGUUGUUUAACUGGGCAUCUCUAACAACCUACAGAGUUUGUAAUAAUGGAAGAAGUUCAGGGGCAGUCUUGGGAAUGUACCUGCCGCCUGCUCAGAUAGCAUAUCUGCCAAAGUGAAAUUCGCCAGGAAAAUACCGGGUCGUGUGUGCUUGUCUGAGGCUUCAGUUGGGAAUCUGGCACCAAAGAGGGGGAGGAAGUGAUUAAAAGCUGUUGGCAUGCCUGUAUGCCAACUUAGAGCUGCAUGGCAACUGAUUCUGACAUUUGUGAUAUUUUAAGCGCUGGACUUAAUAUUUAUUAUCACAGAAUCUGAGGGCUUAUGGAGGUGCAUGCUAAAGUCUGUAUGUUUUGCAUUGUGUACAGAUAUGUCGGCUGUUGUCCACUCCUUACCUGCUCAGUCUCAAUUCCUAGUGCAAAAGGGUGACUAUACAGGUUCUUUCUCUCUUUACUCCAUUUUCCUGCUCCAUGGAAUGAUGUAGGGAACUAACCUCACCUGGACUUAUUCUCUUUGUCCCACCCUCCCAGCUUUUAGUAUGGCUGCAAGCAUUAUCCAGCCUUCCAACUAGCAGGCAGAAAAAAAUAUAGCAGAAUUCAUUCUGAAGAACUGAGUUUUGCACUAGCCGCUUACAUGUACAAAAAUGUAAUUCUAAUCCUCUGUUGUUUUUUGGCAUUAAUGUACCGUAUUCAUUGAGACUGAGAAAAAACUGCUGCCUCUAAGAGCCACUGAUUUGGACAAUUAUCCAAAAUCAGAUUAUAAUAAAUGGCAGUCUUAGGAAUGUUGAUUAACCUCUAAAUAAAUAUUACUUUGGAAAAACCCUGUCAAAUGCAUUAAUGAUAAGUUGUGAAGUAGUAGUAAUUGCAGGCAUGGCAUUAUAGAUAACGUAGUUAAUUGAUACCACCCUCUCAAACAUGUAUAGUACAUCAGCUGCCAUGAAGCUGGAGUGAUUAUAAUAGUAUUUACAACAGUUGAAAUAGAUAAGAUAUGUAAAAUAGAAACUUAGGGUGCUUACUACGAUCCUCUCACUUGGUCAUUUAAUGACUUUGGGCAAGUAUUGCUUGGACAUUAAUGCUUCCAGCUUUCUGAUGAGGUAAGUAUGUACUGAGCUGCUCUAAUUAGAUUUUAUGUGAAUGUCAUAUGGUCCAGGAUGAAGACUGUAAUUAGUCCAGACAGUCUGCACAGGAUGAAGUCAUGAGUCAGGUCCAGGGACGACCCGGAGAGCAGUCAGGAGCAGGAGGAGGUGGGCCAGGGACAAAGCAUGGGUCUUUUGUCCAUCCAGGGGACAGGGCAAAGAUGGGACUGGUGACAAAGCUCUGGCAAAGCAGAGGUCUAUCCAGGAGACAGCAAUCCACAGCAGAGGUCUACUGUCCAUCCAGAGACUACUGCACUUAAAACAUAGCUCUAGUUAAUUAAGGCCCUGGGCUGAGCUUAAAUGGAGCUCCUGGGUCUAGGGGCAUGGGUGUCCCUGGGGGAAGCUUAUCAGGGCCAUUACACCCUGUCUGGGUGUUCAGGGCCUUGGCAGGUCCUUCCUUUCCCUUAUCAAUGCUUGCAGUCAUAGGAUUCACAAAAUGGGUCUGCCUAGGUCACCUUUUCUUGGGAUGGUCCUGCAGAGCUGUUUGGAUGAGUUCAUGCUGAGAUUACAAAUGGAAGUGGAAAACGUGUCCUUGUCUAGCAGAUGUGUUUGUAGAAAUGCAAUACAGAUUAUAUAGAUGCAGACUCUAGGGAAGAAUGCCUUGGCUUCGUUUUUUGGGUUGCUUUUUUUUUUUUUUUUCGGGAAUGACACACAUUUGAUGAAGAGUCCUCUUCAUGGCAGCAUGGCAGCAACCACAGUGCAGCCACAACUUCUGUGUCUUGGCCCGGCCCGUAACUUGGUAUGACUCCUAGUGUAGAGCAGCCAUGGGCAGUGGAGUGAGAGGAAAGCUAUCAAGUACAGAUUAUAUCUGCUGAGGUAAAAGUUAUCUUGCUUCUGAACACUCUCACUCCACCACUCCCUGCCGAAUAGCAGAAAAGCCAACAUCUCCAGAAGGAAGCGAAGUGGAGCUGUUCUACAUACACUGAUGUGUUCUUACCACUUUUGUCAAUUAUAUGAGUUUGUUUUCCAUAUUAAAGCCAGCAUGAAGGACUACUUUACAGUGAAUAAAGUAUUCAGUCUUAAGUGCUAAGAACAAUUUUUUAAGCUGAAGUUUUUCUUCUGAGAGUUGUCCAAGGUUUCAUUCCAUGACUUCUUCCUAAAGCUACGGCUAUAUAAAUCAGACCAGAAGCAUACCUGUUUACACAGCUGUGCCAGGGGAAUGGUGCAGGAACUUCACCUUGCCAAGGGAAGGAUUGCACUCUGGCAAGGAUCAACUCCCUCUCUCGUUCCUAACUUCUUUCUCAAGGUUGAUGAGUAAUAAAUUGUGUCCUAAGAGCAGAAAAUGGUGCAAAUGCCCCUGACUGAUCAACUGUGACUUUUGUAGCUGACCGACGAGUAAACCUCAAGGGAAGUGGCAGAGGACGAGUCCUCAUGAGGUUCACAAGAAGGUGGCAAGGUCUUUGUUCCAUGGGUCUGGAUACCAGGCACCAGCACGGCCAUAGAGUUCUGGAAGAUUGGCAUUACCCUGUAGCAGUGUCACAGCCUGCAGUCAUUUAAUGCCUCUUCUUGUGGGGCCAGGAUUCCACGCCCAAGUGCAUUUAGUAGCUGCAUGCAUUAGCAGGCUGACUCCACUUUGAAAACCUUAAGCCGCAUUCUUCAGAACAGUUGCUUGCUGUUGGUUGGAUUUCUCUGCAGCCCUUUUUUCCAUUUGGAGCCACCGAGGCUGACACAUAGUUUCCAAGAUCUUCAGCGCGUCUUCUGUCUCCUGAAUCGUCUCCUGAAUCCCAAAUAUUUCUCAAGUGGCUAGCAAAAGAAUAUCCAGAUAAUCUUCAUGCUGGUGACACAAGCUUUGAGAAGAAAGCCAGAUGGCUCUGCAAAUUAAUUGUAAAGUAAUUAUUUCAUUUCAUGUUAGCUUGGUGUCUUUAAUACGUGUGUACUUUCACUGUUAGAGUUAGAGCAUUCACAAGAUCCGAAGGGCCUAUGAAAUCCCACUAAUUCUAAUAACAACUUUUGUUGGUCAGACUGUAAAUGAUACUGUAGAUGAGUUGUGUGACAAAGCAAUAAUGCAACUUGAAAAAAAUAAGAGAUGAGCAAUAAACUGAAACAAAAGAGCUUGUUGCCUUUCCCAAAACAGUACUUUUCCAUUCCUGACCUAGGUUUACUUCCCUCACCCCGCCCUUCUUUAAGCAUCUUUACAUUGUAUGCUAACAAUAGGUGCAUUCAUGGUUCAAACUUUAUGCCCAAAAUUAUUGCCAUUCAAAUCCCUUAUUAUCCUUUCAGGCAUCUUAAAAAAACCAGGUCAAACAACACUGCAUAAUUUGGAAAGUUAACAAAACAUUGUUUAUGGAACAAAAAUAUAAGUAGAUGUAAUUACCACAACCUUUAAAUGCAUUGUUUCCCUUCAAUUGUCAAUUAAACAUUUUGAAGAGCUAAAGUUUUAUACAAAA
This is a long non-coding RNA of Falco peregrinus (peregrine falcon), 15424 nucleotides long. RefSeq lists it as uncharacterized. NCBI's taxonomy places the organism in Eukaryota, Metazoa, Chordata, Aves, Falconiformes, Falconidae. The transcript is spliced from 8 exons. The record is from RefSeq and is a predicted model, not a curated record.